UUCAGCAAGUUUUUAUUUUCAGGGGAAGUCCGGUGAGAAUCCGGCGCUGACCCGCAACCGUAUGGGUGCUGUGUGGCACUGAAGUCGGAUUACCUGGAAAUAUUCUUUGGCUUCAACCGUCGUGGAUUACGGUUCUGCAGCCCGU
RNAcentral lists this small RNA (145 nucleotides) under Corynebacterium callunae. Lineage: Bacteria; Bacillati; Actinomycetota; Actinomycetes; Mycobacteriales; Corynebacteriaceae. The record is from RNAcentral.